UGCCUCCACCUGCGCGGACGCGCGCACGACAGAGUGCAAUAGCAGCGGCGCGCACUCCACAACGUCACUCGCCGGUCGCGCGCGCGAAUCCCGGGAGGGGCGUCAUGAGGACACGCCCACUACUGAGAAGGUGGUCCAACCUCACUGAGCUCUUAACUGUUGUCAGCCUGGAACCAGCAUUUUCCUUUCAUCGUCAAAUAAUAACCCCAAAAUUGCAACGAGUGUCAGUUCUUCAACCCAAUCUGCUGGGUCAAAAAUAAUUAACCCAACCUUGAGUGAAAGUAACCCAUUCUGAUCAAAAUCCACAUCUCCCCAGCAGACUAGGAAAACAAUCCACCAAUUUUUUUUCACAUGUGCAUUAUUUAUUUGAAGGAGCACAAGGAGACAUCCAGACACUCGUCACGACGACGAUGACACGAGGAAUCUGUGCAAAAUAGUGCAUUUGGUUGGAGGACACACACAGACGCGACAUGCAGGACGGCAACAACGCUCGCUUCCUGGGAACAUUUCCGUGUUUCAAGGCAACUUGAGGGUGGCAAAGAUUGUUACAAAUAAGGCGGAAUCGCUGUGAGGUAGAAAAAAAAGGCGAGGAGGAGUAAGAGAGAGAGAGAGAGAAAAAAGGAGAA
Molecule: long non-coding RNA, 626 nt
Organism: Hippocampus zosterae (dwarf seahorse)
Lineage: Eukaryota; Metazoa; Chordata; Actinopteri; Syngnathiformes; Syngnathidae
Exons: 2
Source: RefSeq, a predicted model, not a curated record